GAGAGAAGGCGCCCAGUCUCCUCUUCAGUUAGUUACCAUGUCCUUCUUGUUCUGCCCUUCAGAAGAUGCACUUGAAGGAGAACUGGUGAGAUCCAUCCAGAGGCAUCAGCAGACCCCGCGGAGGAAGGCGCGGCACAGUCCCCGGGAGCACCCAGCGGGCACCUCCAGAGAGCUCAGAGUGACCACAUCUGGCAGAAAAGGAAAAAAUGUAGUUAUUGAAUCCAGUCCAGUGUUUGUAUCUCUCACAUUAUCAACAAAAGUAGUCAAGAAAGGUUCUGGAGGCCCCAUGAACACAUGGAUAUAGAAGGAGCCACAUGAAGGUAAGGAGUCUGUUGUCUUUUUCAUGCUUUACCUGCAGACAAAUGUAUAUUUACCUAAACCUUUACCUGCUGUUUUAAGGAAACAUAAAAACAGGUUUGUCAGUGAUGGGGUUCUGAUUUGCUAGAAGGCACUACAUCCCCUAAUUUUGGUGAAUAACCCCAACAGAAUGUGCCAUCACUGCUGGAAGUGGCCUCCAGGAGCCCCUCUGGCCAAGCCCUGACAUGACCAAGGUAACUUCAUGAUGUGUUACCAUGCCUGUGCACCCUUGGCACAAAAGCACAGAGUUCCACAAGAGUUGGGCCUCUGUGUCCACUCUGAGUUCUACUCAGUUGCAUUUCCUGCUUAACGCAAUUGAGCAGGUCUGUGACAAGGGCCUCCUUCAUGGAACAGGGGUCUCGAGAGCUGCCAUUCAUCACCUGGACACUCAGGGCAACCAUGUGCAGUGACAGCCACGCUCUUCCCAAAGCUUCAAGUUGUAGCUAAAUUUCUUUUAUGUAAAAAAAAAAAGUACGUGUGAAACAUGCAUAACAUUAAGUUUAGCACUUCACCAUGUUUAAGUGUACAGCUAGUGGCGUGAAACACUCGCACACAGUUGUGUAAUCAUCACCACCAUCUAUUUCCAGAAAUUCUCUCAUCUUCCACAGCCUCACCUCUUACCCAUUUAUCAGCAGCUCUGCCCUGACCCCCGUCUGGCCCCUGGCUACCACCUUCUCCUUUCUGACUGUGCGGAUCUGACUGCUACCGGCACUUGGUAGGAGUAGAAUCAGUGUGUUUGUUCUUUGGCCACUGGGCUGUUUUCUGAUCAUGCACCUUCAAGGUUUAGCCAUGUUAUAGCAUGGCCCGGAACUUUGUCCCUCCCUUUAAAGCCCAAUAGUAUCUAGCUGCACAUCAAGGGACAUGAGUGUUGCUUCCAUAUUUUAGUUAUUGUGAAUAAUGCUGCUCUGAACUUGGGUAGAGACAAGCAGGUUUAAAUCUUUGCUUGUGAACCUUCUGUUAUAUACCCAUGAGGAGAAUUUACCCUGCCAUUUCCCAGUGGCCACAGCAUUUUACAUCCUCACCAACAGUGCCCAAAGGUUCUAAUUUCCC
RNAcentral lists this long non-coding RNA (1407 nucleotides) under Fukomys damarensis (Damara mole-rat). Its description in RNAcentral is "lncRNA (ENSFDAG00000032746.1)". Lineage: Eukaryota; Metazoa; Chordata; Mammalia; Rodentia; Bathyergidae. The record is from RNAcentral.